GCCUUCGGGUUGUAAAGCCCUUUACUGGGGGACGAGAACGGACGGUACCCUGGGAAUAACCGUCGGCUAACUACGUGCCAGCAGCCGCGGUAAGACUUAGGACGCGAGCGUUAUCCGGAUUUACUGGGCGUAAAGCGCCUGUAGGCGGUUAGAUAAGUCGGAUGUGAAAGCCCCGUGCUCAACGCAUGGACUCCAUUCGAUACUGUAUAACUUGAGAGCGGCAGAGGGAAACGGAAUUUCUGGUGUAGUGGUCAACUGCGCAGAGAUCAGAAGGAACACCGAUGGCGAAGGCAGUUUCCUAUGCCGUAUCUGACGCUGAGAGGCGAAAGCUAGGGGAGCGAACAGGAUUAGAGACCCUGGUAGUCCUAGCUGUAAACGCUGGAUGCUAGGUGUGGGCCGGAAAGGUCCGUGCCGGAGUUAACGCAAUAGGCAUCCCGCCUGGGGAGUACGCCCGCAAGGCUUAAACUCAAACGAAUUGACGGGGACCCGCACAAGCAGCGGAGCGUGUGCUUUAAUUCGAUGCUACACGAAGAACCUUACCUGGGUUUUACAUGUAGAUGGUAGUGAAGUGAAAGCGGAGCGACCCUUCGGGGAGCCUACACAGGUGCUGCAUGGCUGUCGUCAGCUCGUG
This 631-nucleotide ribosomal RNA is filed under the name uncultured organism. Its description in RNAcentral is "bacterial SSU rRNA". It matches the Rfam family "Bacterial small subunit ribosomal RNA", at positions 414 to 1064 of the family's 1533-position model. The record is from RNAcentral.